This 292-nucleotide ribosomal RNA is filed under the name uncultured Planctomycetota bacterium. Its description in RNAcentral is "uncultured planctomycete partial 16S ribosomal RNA". Lineage: Bacteria; Pseudomonadati; Planctomycetota. The record is from RNAcentral.
GGACUACAGGGGUAUCUAAUCCCGUUCGCUCCCCUAGCUUUCGCGCCUCAGCGUCAGUUAAGGUCCAGCGCGCCGCUUUCGCCACCGGAGUUCCUGAUGAUAUCAACACAUUUCACCGCUCCACCAUCAGUUCCGCACGCCCCUACCUCACUCAAGAUGACCAGUAUCAGAGGCAGUUCUCCGGUUGAGCCGGAGGAUUUCACCCCUGACUUGAUCGCCCGCCUACGCGCCCUUUAAGCCCAGUGAUUCCGAACAACGUUCGCACGGUUCGUCUUACCGCGGCUGCUGGCAC